This 601-nucleotide ribosomal RNA is filed under the name Hydrophylax leptoglossa (Assam forest frog). RNAcentral describes it as "partial 16S ribosomal RNA". The stretch from base 345 to 593 matches the Rfam family "Archaeal large subunit ribosomal RNA", at positions 1787 to 2143 of the family's 2987-position model. Lineage: Eukaryota; Metazoa; Chordata; Amphibia; Anura; Ranidae. The record is from RNAcentral.
UUAUUUGAAACAGGAUACAACCUAGAACACUGGGUAAAUAAGGGUAACCCAAACAAAGUGGGCCUAAAAGCAGCCACCUUCCAAAAAGCGUUAUAGCUUAACUAUAAACAUCCCCUAAUCUGAUUUAUUAUUCUUAACCCUUCACCUGUACUGAACUAUUUUAUACCUUUAUAAAAAAUAUUAUGCUAGAACUAGUAACAAGAACUUGAUUUUCUCCAAAAUGUAAGCAUAAGCCAAAACGGACUAUCCAUUAGCACUUAACGUAAAUGCCUUCACUAUAGCAACAAACCUCUAGAAAACCCUAUAAUCUUGCACGUUACCCUAACACCAGAACAUUUAAGGAAAGAUUAAAAGAGAAAGAAGGAACUCGGCAAAUUUUAGCCCCGCCUGUUUACCAAAAACAUCGCCUCUUGACAAAACAUAAGAGGUCCAGCCUGCCCAGUGACAAACUUUAACGGCCGCGGUACCCUAACCGUGCGAAGGUAGCAUAAUCACUUGUUCUUUAAAUAGGGACUAGUAUCAACGGCAUCACGAGGGCUAUACUGUCUCCUUUCUCCAAUCAGUGAAACUGAUCUCCCCGUGAAGAAGCGGGGAUUCAACU